AGUGGGUUGGGGCCGCCGCUAGGGGUUCUCCCCUCGCUAGGUCCCCACCAGGCGGGUGAACGUGCUCGCUGAGGGUCUUCCCCACUAGGACUUAAGCCCCAUGGAGGUCGUGUUUAGGGGAGGGAGAAGAAUCUUCCCUUCCUGGAGAGCUGCCUUGGGGGACAGAAUAAUGAAGAUGCCUCAGUCGCUGGGCUUGCUCAGGCCUCAGGCACCCAGAGUGGCACAGAGCAUCAAGCUGUGCCUCUCGGACACCCAGAUAAACGGCAUCUGAGCUUCCUGCAAAGUCACAGAGCAAAUGUGAAUACAUACAAACCUACCGACCCAUGUCUAAUACCUGGACUUCUGGGUAAACUGGCUCAGACCACGGCAGGAACGUGAUGGAGGCCUGGACAGCAGGACAACAGAGUGCCUAGGACCGGAUUCUCUUUUAGAGACAGUGAAGUAGUCACAAACAACGCGACGUAAUGUAUAUGGGAUUUGCUUCAGAACAACUCAGUAGUGGACGGAAGCACUGAAAGUCGGGAAGAAACAGGGUCAGCCCUGAGGCGGUCAUCAGUGACUCUGGAUCAUGGGUACAUGAGCGCCUGUGCUAUUCUCUC
RNAcentral lists this long non-coding RNA (599 nucleotides) under Sus scrofa (pig). RNAcentral's name for it is "lncRNA (ENSSSCG00025030389.1, ENSSSCG00070008601.1)". Lineage: Eukaryota; Metazoa; Chordata; Mammalia; Artiodactyla; Suidae. The record is from RNAcentral.